This 466-nucleotide ribosomal RNA is filed under the name uncultured bacterium. RNAcentral describes it as "partial 16S ribosomal RNA". It matches the Rfam family "Bacterial small subunit ribosomal RNA", at positions 28 to 507 of the family's 1533-position model. The record is from RNAcentral.
GACGAACGCUGGCGGCGUGCUUAACACAUGCAAGUCGAACGGAAAGGCCCUGCUUGCAGGGUACUCGAGUGGCGAACGGGUGAGUAACACGUGGGUGAUCUGCCCUGCACUUCGGGAUAAGCUUGGGAAACUGGGUCUAAUACCGGAUAGGAGCCAUCUUUAGUGUGGUGGUUGGAAAGUUUUUUCGGUGUAGGAUGAGCUCGCGGCCUAUCAGCUUGUUGGUGAGGUAAUGGCCUACCAAGGCGGCCACGGGUAGCCGGCCUGAGAGCGUGUACGGCCACCUUGAGACUGAGAUACGGCACCGACUCCUACGGGAGGCAGCAGUGGGGAAUAUUGAACAAUGGGCGCAAGCCUGAUGCAGCGAGGCCGCGUGGGGGAUGAAGGCCUUCGGGUUGUAAACUCCUUUCGCUAGGGACGAAGCUUUUUUGUGACGGUACCUAGAUAAGAAGCACCGGCUAACUACGUG